RNAcentral lists this unclassified non-coding RNA (331 nucleotides) under soil metagenome. RNAcentral's name for it is "partial contains 5.8S ribosomal RNA, internal transcribed spacer 2, and large subunit ribosomal RNA". The stretch from base 1 to 120 matches the Rfam family "5.8S ribosomal RNA", at positions 35 to 154 of the family's 154-position model. The record is from RNAcentral.
GAUGAAGAACGUAGCGAAAUGCGAUAAGUAAUGUGAAUUGCAGAAUUCAGUGAAUCAUCGAAUCUUUGAACGCACAUUGCGCCCCCUGGUAUUCCGGGGGGCAUGCCUGUUCGAGCGUCAUUUCACCACUCAAGCCUCGCUUGGUAUUGGGCAACGCGGUCCGCCGCGUGCCUCAAAUCGACCGGCUGGGUCUUCUGUCCCCUAAGCGUUGUGGAAACUAUUCGCUAAAGAGUGCUCGGGAGGCUACGCCGUAAAACAAACCCAUUUCUAAGGUUGACCUCGGAUCAGGUAGGGAUACCCGCUGAACUUAAGCAUAUCAAUAAGCGGAGGA